This 490-nucleotide ribosomal RNA is filed under the name uncultured bacterium. RNAcentral's name for it is "partial 16S ribosomal RNA". It matches the Rfam family "Bacterial small subunit ribosomal RNA", at positions 29 to 507 of the family's 1533-position model. The record is from RNAcentral.
AGUGAACGCUGGCGGUAGGCCUAACACAUGCAAGUCGAACGGCAGCACAGUAAGAGCUUGCUCUUACGGGUGGCGAGUGGCGGACGGGUGAGGAAUACAUCGGAAUCUACUUUUUCGUGGGGGAUAACGUAGGGAAACUUACGCUAAUACCGCAUACGACCUACGGGUGAAAGCAGGGGAUCUUCGGACCUUGCGCGAUUGAAUGAGCCGAUGUCGGAUUAGCUAGUUGGCGGGGUAAAGGCCCACCAAGGCGACGAUCCGUAGCUGGUCUGAGAGGAUGAUCAGCCACACUGGAACUGAGACACGGUCCAGACUCCUACGGGAGGCAGCAGUGGGGAAUAUUGGACGAUGGGCGCAAGCCUGAUCCAGCCAUACCGCGUGGGUGAAGAAGGCCUUCGGGUUGUAAAGCCCUUUUGUUGGGAAAGAAAAGCAGCAGGUUAAUACCCCGCUGUUCUGACGGUACCCAAAGAAAGCACCGGCUAACUUCGUG